AUGAGUGGAAUGACUCCCAUCGGAUGUGGGUGGGAAUGGGCAAUCCCUGUGACGAGGACGACAUGGACCUCUUCUAUGCUUCGACCACUAUCACUAUUGGCAAUGGGGCUAUUGCGCCUUUUUGGGACUCCCCUUGGUUAUUUGGUAGGAAACCAAAAGAUGUGGCUCCACUCAUCUUUGAGUGCUCUACGAGGAAAAAUUGGAAGGUACGCUAAGCCUUACUUGAGGGCGCAUGGAUUGGCAAAGUCAAAAUUUCGACCUCCUUUACUCUCGAACAUAUCCGUCAAUUUGUCCAUCUUUGGACCUUGCUUCGGAAUGUUCAUCUCGAGGAGGAUAGGGUGGAUUCCGUCGCAUGGAAGCACACAAUGA
This 369-nucleotide ribosomal RNA is filed under the name Triticum aestivum (bread wheat). Its description in RNAcentral is "partial small subunit ribosomal RNA". The record is from RNAcentral. Lineage: Eukaryota; Viridiplantae; Streptophyta; Magnoliopsida; Poales; Poaceae.